RNAcentral lists this ribosomal RNA (253 nucleotides) under uncultured bacterium. RNAcentral's name for it is "partial 16S ribosomal RNA". It matches the Rfam family "Bacterial small subunit ribosomal RNA", at positions 524 to 776 of the family's 1533-position model. The record is from RNAcentral.
UACGAGGGCUGCAAGCGUUGCUCGGAAUUAUUGGGCGUAAAGGGUUGGUAGGUGGUCUUGUUUGUCUAAGGUGAAAUCCCAUGGCUUAACUGUGGAAGUGCCUUAGAAACGGCAAGACUAGAGUCCUAGAGGGGUUUGUGGAAUUCCCGGUGUAGCGGUGAAAUGCGUAGAGAUCGGGAGGAACACCAGCGGCGAAGGCGGCAAACUGGAUAGGCACUGACACUCAACAACGAAAGCGUGGGGAGCAAACAGG